This 463-nucleotide ribosomal RNA is filed under the name uncultured bacterium. RNAcentral's name for it is "bacterial SSU rRNA". It matches the Rfam family "Bacterial small subunit ribosomal RNA", at positions 96 to 562 of the family's 1533-position model. The record is from RNAcentral.
UGACGGACGGGUGAGUAACGCGUGGGAAUCUGCCUCUUACUGGGGGAUAACAGUGGGAAACUACUGCUAAUACCGCAUAAGAUCUUCGGAUGAAAGGUGCAACUGCACCGGUAAGAGAUGAGCCCGCGUCCCAUUAGCUAGUUGGUGAGGUAAAGGCUCACCAAGGCGACGAUGGGUAGCCGGCCUGAGAGGGUGAACGGCCACACUGGGACUGAGACACGGCCCAGACUCCUACGGGAGGCAGCAGUAGGGAAUCUUCCGCAAUGGGCGCAAGCCUGACGGAGCGACGCCGCGUGAGUGAUGAAGGCCUUCGGGUCGUAAAGCUCUGUUCUUGAGGACGAAUAAGCCAGGGAGUGGAAAGCCCUGGUGAUGACUGUACUCAAGGAGAAAGCUCCGGCUAACUACGUGCCAGCAGCCGCGGUAAUACGUAGGGAGCUAGCGUUGUCCGGAAUUACUGGGUGUA